AUAGAUUAUAAGGUGGUAAGUAUGGAGGUGAUCGGAAGGAAUGGAAAAUGAGAUGGGUAUUUUAAGAGGAGGAAGAAGAGAUGGAGAGUUGGGUGGAAGGUUUAAAGGAUAAGAAUGAAGAGUNNNNNNNNNNNNNNNNNNNNGAGAUGGAGAGUUGGGUGGAAGGUUUAAAGGAUAAGAAUGAAGAGUCGGUCCUCUUCUAGAGCUCCUCUUCUUCGCUCAGCUUCUCGCCCAUCUCAUCUCCUUCUGAGAUCAUCACCAGAUGGGAAGCUUUCGUUUUCUAAAUCUUCUACUCUCCAUGUCUGCUCCCAGGUCAAGAUGGAGAGAGAGAGAGAGGUGGCAGAAGAAGGACCAGACCGAAAUGGGGGAUGCCAUGUGGCUAUAAAAUUGAAGCCAGAGAGUAGGGGUUGGGGUGGUGGGGUUCAAGGGAAUUUAUUAGAUGGACUUGGUCCACUGGACCUGUCCAAAUCCAGGAUGAUAACCGGAUGAAUUUUGAUCUCAGUUUUGAUCUUGAAUUUCUUAAAAACAGGAGUGAUGUGGCGAGUGGCCAUUGGACUGGUCCACUGGACCAGGGCCAUUUUAAUAAUUUCUGAGGGUCCAGAGGAAGGUUAAGAGGCUGACCCUUGGUCAAGGGGAGAGGAAGAAAUGAAAUGACAUCCAAAUGAAAUGCAGAUACAUUACUUUAAGAUUUUUUAUAAUUCUUUUGGUCGAGGGGACAGCGUAGGGCGAAGGGGGAAAUAUUUUAUUCGUAUUCAUUUUGGAUAUAAAAGCUUUUAUAUUAAUAAUCAGCCUAUCUCUCCCUCUGAUUUAUUUUUUCCCAUUAAUUAGCCGGGCCAAGCUUACUGCCCUUUCAGGUUUAGAAUAUCCUACUACUGUUUUCAUCCAAAUCUUAUCAAAAAAAAAAAACAACAUAUCCUACUACUGUUUUCAUCCAUAUCUUUUCAAAACACACACACACACACAAUUCACAGUAUCAGUGGCUUGCAUAAAGACACCAACUAUAAUGAAAUGGUGUAGUAGAAAGCCAUUUACAGCAAUCCUAUUAAAUAGCCAAAUGUUUAAAUAAAACCUUGAUUUUAAUAUUGUUCUAUGUGUUUCAUUCUUUUUUUUUUCUAUCUAUAAGUAUGCUUGGAUAUGCAUUAUUGCUACUGAAUGAAAAAUUCCAGAUAAAAUUUGUUUAAAACUAGUAGUGACCAAGAAUAGUCAUUUUCAUCUUACUAGUAAAUACUUUUAGGUAGGAAUUCAUAGCAAUUAAUUGGAGAUAUUUUCCAUUAAUGGUCUUCCUCAAGUGCAUAUGAAGUGUGGCAAUAACAAAGAAAAAAAUAAUUAUCCUCUUGAUAUUUCAUAUGGAGUUAUAAUUAAAGAUCAGAUAUUAUUCAUGAACUUUUUUAGUGAAUUAAAUAUUCAAUAAAGUAGAUCAAAUGAGUUCUAUUAUUUAAAUUUUAUUUAUACUCUAUAUAUAGUUCAUUUUUUUUUAUUUAUAAUGAAGGCUACAUUCUUCUAUUAUUCCAAUAGUGCAACAGCUGCAAUAAUUUUGAACUAUUAGGUACAGAAAUAGGAGUAGUGCCAUUGUUGGUCAGUAGUUUUUAACUAAAAAGGCCAUUGUUAGAUAGAUUGUAAAAGAUGCCUUCUCUGUCUCUCUUCUUUUGCUCGCAGAGGUGUAAAGAAGCUUUUAUACGAUAAUGAUGGCAACAUAAAUAGCUUUUUUAUUACCAUUUUAGUUUCUUGUAUUAAUCCUAGUCCUAUUUCCUUAAGUAUAUAUACCACGCCAAACACUUGCUGAGAUGAUCAUAGUAUCCAUCCCACAAAAGAAUGAUUCACCUUCCUUCGCACCCAUACACCAUCGGAUCAUCCACAGAGUGCUUUGAGGUCUAUGCAGUAGAUGAUCUAACAACAGAUGGGCGUAAAGAAAGUUGAAUUCUUCUUUUGCGCGAGGGAUACAGCUGUGAUUCGAUCAAAGGUUGCACCUGCAUGUUUAGGGAACGUUAUUAGUUGAUGAGUUCCUUAAAAGCCUGUGAAUUGAGUCCUAUCUAUUAAAGAGUUAAACUUUUGGUUACUUCAUCAUUCUAUGGUCAAUGGAGUAUAUAAUUAUAUAGACAGGGGACAGAUUAACUAUGUACGUACCAUGUAACCUAUGCUCCUUUACAUCUGGAGUUGCGACUGGCAUUAGAUCGAAGGGUGUGAUUGAUUGCAUGUACAAAAUGCUUUCAAGAAAAUCACAAUUAAUCGUGUGUUACCAUUUUUCUUAAUUUCUUGGUACAUAUCUUAGGUUACUCGAACAUUCACUAAUAGAACAUUUUGAAACGAAAGCCAAUUUAUCAUCGUUGGCUUCUUCAACAUGAGUUAUUACCAGAAGAAAACUUCUCGGACAUGAGCUGGGAGUUUUGGCUUUUUUUUUUCCUGCAUCUUAUUUCAUGCGUACCCUCUCCAGUUUGUUAAUUGCUCCACAACAUUAUUAUUAGCUAUUUUCUUUCAAAGUCUCUUCGGCGAAUAACCGAUGUGGGGCUAAACACACGUCCGUAUGGGUCCUCAUAUACUUUUUCCAUUUGAGCCCUGACGUCCUCGUCAGGCUAAGAGUUUAAAUUCAUUCAAAUCUAAUCACAUGUAUCACAAUAGGCCCAUGGUCAGCCUUUAUUAAUUCGUACUGUAGUGUUUUCUAGUCCACAUAGGCUAUGGGCCGAGUUCGCCCUGAUACAUUUGUAACAAUUUAGAACUUCAUCCAAAAUGACUAGUCGGAAUGUAUUAUUUGAAUUUCUUAGUCUAGUAUAAAUACUCAAAAUCUUUUCGACAAAUAAUUGAUGUGGAACUAAAUAUACGUCCGUAUGGAUCCUCACACAACAUCACAAAACAUCCAAAAAAAAAUAUCUUACGUGUCUAUGAGAUCAAGAUGUUUCUUGAUCCAAUCAUGCAUUGUAUGCAAUGCAAGUUAAGGCAUUGGAGCGUCAUGCUCAUUGUGUUUCUUUUUUUUUUACUUUUUUACCAGUAGGUACAUAUUUCGGCAUGCACGUUCAAGCUUUGGACCGAUUGAUUCCGUACGUUAGAAAGUUGUCAGUCACUCUUGGAGUCUCGCUAAAGUUGCUUCGUAGAUGUAAACGUUUCCAAGUCCAAUUAAUGGCACUGAACUGAUGAGGAUGAUGAUCAUGUUCCCUUUAGAAUCCCUAAAGAUGAGAUUAAAGCUGUGAAGUUAACUUUUUUGGUAUCAUACAUGCAUGCCAAAAGUGCUGUUCGUUUUUAUUUUUUAUUUUUUGGAUAUUGUCAGUGAUGAACCAAAGUAAGUCCGGGGUUCUCAAAAUCAUUUUAUUAUAAUAUAUUAUCUCGUUGUACAAUAAAAAGUAACUUCUUUUUUUACUUAUCAAAUAACAACAUUUGUUGUAUCAUGCAUUGGCUUAGCUUGAACCUAUCAACUCACUCUUUCUCUCUCUUCCCCACAAUUUUCAAGGGUUUUUUUCGCAAAGCAUCCCUUCCAUUAUGGAUGAAUUACAAACAAUAAACACCUCUUCUUAUACAUUUGUAGAUCAAGACCUUUCUCAUCCCAUAAAUUUUCUAACAGACUCUGACGUAACUUGUCAUUAAUCAUGAUGGAAUAUUUUUGCUGCAUUUUUUCAUUCUUCGCUCGCUUGAUCCUUUAGAGCUUCUAAUACUUGUCAGCACUAUUGUUGUUAAAUUUGAUUUUCUCACCGCCACUGUUACGGGAACUUGAUUUUGUCUUAAAUUCGAAGAAGAUGGCAGCACAAAGUAGUGUAUUCAGGGUGUAGAUACUUUAAACAACCAAGUGAGAGGAGAAUAUCAAAAAAUACAAUAAAUGUUUUGUGAUGGGAAAAAAUACAAUAAGUAUUUCAAAAUGACCGAUGAGAAAUUAUUUUAAGAUAUUAUUGCAGAAUUUCUGGAAUAAAAAGAUGUUUUGAUAAUGAAAAAAAUUCUCUCUCUUUUUCCCCCUUUUCAAAGUCUAGACUGCAGACUUAUCAUUUGGAAAACCUAUAACAUUGGUAAUCUUUGGUAGGCUGGUUAGACAACUGACACCACAAACUAUAAUCCACAGAAGCUCGGAUCCAUGCAUGCAGAUUCCCUGAGAAGAAUAUGAUAUCCCCCAUAAUAAAAACUAUGGUGGCAGAGUUCCUGCUUUCUAUGAGAAGAACCUUACAAACACAGUCCUCUGAAAUUGAAAGGAUACAAUUGCAGGGAAACUUUUAUUUGUAGUGGUCCUGACGCUGCAUCAUUUAGCUUCCAAGUUCCAAAAACAUUCAAAAAAGCUUCUCUCUUUUGCUUCUGUCCCCCUCAAGUUCAGGUGACGAACAUGGGGGCAUUUGCAGUCAUCUUAGCUAGUCUUCUCAGCCAAUCCCACCAACUUAGAAUGGUGCUCUAAUAGCCCGCACUUCCAAGUUCCAACUCAUAGCACAUAGCAGCAGCAUCGUGGGCCAUGCUGUGCAUUGAGUUUUCUCCGAAGAAGCUGGCCCUCCUGGCAUUAAAUAGGGUAGUUUCCUCUUUUUAUUUCAGUUUGCGACUCACAGCUCAUUGCUGUUGAUUGUAGAGAUACCUGGGAAGGAGAGAUCUCUUAUCAGCAAUAGCAGAAACUAGAUUGGGAGACCGUGCUAGUUUAAAUCAUGAUGGACCAUUGAUAAUCCAUGUUAAAUUUCUUUGAAAAAUUGAUAAUCCUGGGAAGGGCACGUGGAUUAUGUUGAAAAUAUAUUUUGUCUUGAAACUGCUGUAUCUUUAUUUUAUAGAAGUAUUAUAAAGAAGCUUGCCUGAAUUGAGGUGUGUGAUAUACAGUGCAGGUUUGCGGCGAUCUCGUCCCUAAGGUACAACAACCCGGCUCAACCCGAUUCAGAACUCUGUCACAAAUAAAGUACCAGUAAGAAAGAGAGAGACAGA
RNAcentral lists this long non-coding RNA (4869 nucleotides) under Phoenix dactylifera (date palm). RNAcentral's name for it is "long non-coding RNA (PDAC_LNC000717)". Lineage: Eukaryota; Viridiplantae; Streptophyta; Magnoliopsida; Arecales; Arecaceae. The record is from RNAcentral.